RNAcentral lists this ribosomal RNA (506 nucleotides) under uncultured bacterium. RNAcentral describes it as "partial 16S ribosomal RNA". It matches the Rfam family "Bacterial small subunit ribosomal RNA", at positions 28 to 523 of the family's 1533-position model. The record is from RNAcentral.
GAUGAACGCUAGCUACAGGCUUAACACAUGCAAGUCGAGGGGUAACGAGAGGAAAGCUUGCUUGCCUUGUCGACCACCGGCGUACGGGUGAGUAACGCGUAUCCAACCUGCCCCCAACUAGGGAAUCACCUAGCGAAAGUAAGACAAAUACCCUAAAAUUUCUGCAGAUGUCAUCCGACGAUGAAUAAAGAUUUAUCGGUCGCGGAUGGGGAUGCGUCUGAUUAGCUUGUUGGCGGGGUAACGGCCCACCAAGGCAACGAUCAGUAGGGGUCCUGAGAGGAAGGUCCCCCACAUUGGAACUGAGACACGGUCCAAACUCCUACGGGGGGCAGCAGUGAGGAAUAUUGGUCAAAGGGCGGAAGCCUGAACCAGCCAAGUAGCGUGCAGGAUGACGGCCCUAUGGGUUGUAAACUGCUUUUAUACAGGAAUAAAGUUAGCCACGUGUGGUUAUUUGUAGGUACUGUAUGAAUAAGGACCGGCUAAUUCCGUGCCAGCCGCCGCAGUAA